This 28-nucleotide non-coding RNA is filed under the name Bombyx mori (domestic silkworm). The record is from RNAcentral. Lineage: Eukaryota; Metazoa; Arthropoda; Insecta; Lepidoptera; Bombycidae.
UCCCAUAAGUGAUAUUCUUCGCGGUAGC